GUGGGGAAUAUUGCACAAUGGGCGCAAGCCUGAUGCAGCGACGCCGCGUGCGGGAUGGAGGCCUUCGGGUUGUAAACCGCUUUUGUUCAAGGGCAAGGCAGGCCUUUUCGGGUUUGUUGAGUGGAUUGUUCGAAUAAGCACCGGCUAACUACGUGCCAGCAGCCGCGGUAAUACGUAGGGUGCAAGCGUUAUCCGGAUUUAUUGGGCGUAAAGGGCUCGUAGGCGGUUCGUCGCGUCCGGUGUGAAAGUCCAUCGCUUAACGGUGGAUCCGCGCCGGGUACGGGCGGGCUUGAGUGCGGUAGGGGAGACUGGAAUUCCCGGUGUAACGGUGGAAUGUGUAGAUAUCGGGAAGAACACCAAUGGCGAAGGCAGGUCUCUGGGCCGUUACUGACGCUGAGGAGCGAAAGCGUGGGGAGCGAACAGGAUUAGAUACCCUUGUAGUCC
This 444-nucleotide ribosomal RNA is filed under the name uncultured bacterium. RNAcentral's name for it is "bacterial SSU rRNA". It matches the Rfam family "Bacterial small subunit ribosomal RNA", at positions 354 to 796 of the family's 1533-position model. The record is from RNAcentral.